CAGGAUGAACGCUAGCGGCAGGCCUAAUACAUGCAAGUCGAACGGGAGUAGGUAGCAAUACUUACUCUAGUGGCGCACGGGUGCGUAACGCGUAUGCAACCUACCUUUUAUUGGGGGAUAGCCCGGGGAAACUCGGAUUAAUACCGCAUGAUACUAUUUGAGGGCAUCUGAGGAUAGUUAAAGCUGAGGCGAUAAAAGAUGGGCAUGCGUGCCAUUAGCUAGUUGGUUGGGGUAACGGCCCACCAAGGCGACGAUGGCUAGGGGUUCUGAGAGGAUGAUCCCCCACACUGGUACUGAGAUACGGACCAGAC
RNAcentral lists this ribosomal RNA (311 nucleotides) under bacterium endosmybiont of Otiorhynchus armadillo. RNAcentral's name for it is "bacterial SSU rRNA". It matches the Rfam family "Bacterial small subunit ribosomal RNA", at positions 25 to 336 of the family's 1533-position model. The record is from RNAcentral.